Cryptomeria japonica (Japanese cedar) is the source of this 784-nucleotide long non-coding RNA. RefSeq lists it as uncharacterized. The record is from RefSeq and is a predicted model, not a curated record. Lineage: Eukaryota; Viridiplantae; Streptophyta; Pinopsida; Cupressales; Cupressaceae. The transcript has 3 exons.
AUGGAGUAUGCCAACUGUUAUUUCUAAAACUUGUUAGUUUGUUUUGGUCUACAGCUUUUUCAUAGCAUUUAUGCUCUAUAAGGAUGGAUGGCGUUGUGGAGUUUAGGUUUUCACAUGGGUAGUAUUAGUGGUGGUCGAAGACCAAGGUUGAAGGAGCAUUUGGACAAACAAAGGUGCAGAUAUCAGAACAUGGCUUGUAUACAGGUUGUGUUUGGUGCAGGUUUGGAAAGAAAGAAGGAUGAGAGGAAAAACCAUGUAGUUCUGCCGCUUUUCGGAUAAGCAUCGGCGAAUUGCAUCCACUGAGUUCUUGUGAAGGUGCAUCCUGUUGAAAUGAAUGACCUUUCUUGUUUCAUUGUUUCAUUUCCAAUCUCAGUAGUAAGUUUUCAUUCUUGACUAUGGUUGGGUUUUUUCAGUCGCAAUUUCCCAUAACUUGAUGCCAUUUGAGCGCAUCUCGUUUUUCAUUAAUGUGGAAUUACGCAAGGCCACCUAUGAUAUGAAUUGGAUUAGCAAAUGCAUUCAAAGCAAUGUGCUAUACAAAUAAUUUCAAUCUUCACUAUGAGGUUGUCCACAUUUUAUUUGGUUUAUCUAUGUAUUUUACUAUCUUGUUUUUACACGCCUACACUUUUUGGGCCUCUACUUAUCUUGAUAGUUGAACCUCCAUACCGGAGUUUGCAAGGAAAUGUUUUGUACUUCAAUGUACAUUUCUGUUUAUGACUGGUGCAGAGGAAAUAUUUUGUAGUAUGGACCUUUGUUGUGACAUUCAACUUUCUUUUGUUGUCACAUA